GCUGGGGAAGGUUUUCCGGUUUAUCUCGGAGGGCUUGUAGCUCAGUUGGUUAGAGCGCGCGCUUGAUAAGCGUGAGGUCGGAGGUUCAAGUCCUCCCAGGCCCACCAAUUUAUCUAUCCAUUUGCCUUUAUCCGUUUAUUUGCUGUUUUAUCGGUCCGUUUGUUAAGUGUUGGCAACAGUUUUUGUAAUGAUGAAAAACAGUCCUGCUUAUAUAAAGACCUACUUAUAAAAGGCUUGUUUUUAACAUGUGACGCUUAUUCAUUCCGCUUAAGCAAGAGAAACUUCAGGCGGUUCAAACGCAAAACACUUUGAAUUUUGUAAAACAAUUUGCGUUUUGAAGUGAUUCAAGUUCGUGAUUUCAACUUUAAAAGUUUCUAAUGCUUUAUCCUUUUUUAGGGGCCGUAGCUCAGCUGGGAGAGCACCUGCUUUGCAAGCAGGGGGUCGUUCGGUUCAGGGGGUCGUCGGUUCA
Molecule: unclassified non-coding RNA, 469 nt
Filed under: uncultured Bartonella sp.
Lineage: Bacteria; Pseudomonadati; Pseudomonadota; Alphaproteobacteria; Hyphomicrobiales; Bartonellaceae
Description: partial 16S-23S ribosomal RNA intergenic spacer
Rfam family: tRNA (bases 31-104)
Source: RNAcentral